UUUAGAGAAAUGAUGUAGCUUCCUUAUAAGAUCCCAAAGCAUCAACUAUACAAAAGAAUGCUUCUGCAGUUUAAAGUCAAGUUUGAUGAAAGAAAGAGUCUGGACAUACUAUUGUUCUUGUUACCGAUUGCAAAUGUAGCUUGUCUCCGACGAUGGGGCCGAGAACCGCAGGCUACGUACCCUAUGCAUCGCUGCUUUGACUGACCUAUCUCCCUGCGUCGGCAACCGCUUCUCUGAUGGAUGGGUUCAUCAGAGGGACUCGUCAUGGCGCGCUUCAUCAACACCAAGAGGAGACCCCUUCAUCUUCAUGGCCGGCCCUCAAGCAAAGCAAAGGGAGGGGAUCGAAAUCGUCCAUGGACGGACGCGCUGAUGGGGACCUGA
Long non-coding RNA from Triticum aestivum (bread wheat), 381 nucleotides. RefSeq lists it as uncharacterized. The record is from RefSeq and is a predicted model, not a curated record. NCBI's taxonomy places the organism in Eukaryota, Viridiplantae, Streptophyta, Magnoliopsida, Poales, Poaceae. The transcript has 3 exons.